CGCGGCCAUUUUAAACCAUACGAAUGAACAGCGGUGUUCGCCUCUAUUUUCAUGGAACUAAAAUCGGACACAGUUUUGCGCGAACACCGCUGAAGCCGCCGACCUCCCUUCUUGUUCGGUGAAAGCACACGAAUGACCCGGUGUUCGGUAUUUUUGUGUGAAUGUCUUAUACCCCAGAUAGGAAUCCCAUGGAGCCCAUUCGUAUGAAACUGACUGUAAAGACUUUGGCUCCAU
This is a non-coding RNA of Pelobates cultripes (western spadefoot toad), 234 nucleotides long. Lineage: Eukaryota; Metazoa; Chordata; Amphibia; Anura; Pelobatidae. The record is from the annotation of a GenBank genome assembly.